CCACAGUUCACAAAUCCAAUCUAUCUUCAACUCUUGAUAAUUCCAAACCCUUCCUUCAUAUAAGAAAGACCAAAACUACGUGUAUGUUUACUGAAACCAAAGCCCCCAGAGGACCAGCAGAUCAAUUGUCUGUCUACGGUGGGCCUCAUCCUACUAGUUGUAGGCCUUAAAAGCAAAAAUUGAGCUUUCCUGAAGAAGAAGAAAGUCUGUCUCCAGGCAGCAACACCAACUCCUGCCUGAGCAGUCGCCGACCUGCCCUGCAGAUUUCAGACUUGCCAGCCUCCAAAAUCACAUGAGCCAGUUCCUUAAAAUAACUCUCUAUUGGCUCUGUUUCUCUGGAGAACCCUGUGAUACAGACUGUGACUACCCUCAAAGGCUUUGUGAAGAAUAUUUCCAUGGAAAAUAGUGAGUAAAGAGUGGGUAAACGGUAAAUUGAAUGUCUGUUUUAUCUGGAAUAAGACCAAAAUUGGUCUUGGGAACAAAAACCAGAAGCAAUCUUCAUGGAAUUCAUAAUUGGAAAAGA
Long non-coding RNA from Gorilla gorilla gorilla (western lowland gorilla), 523 nucleotides. RefSeq lists it as uncharacterized. The transcript has 3 exons. NCBI's taxonomy places the organism in Eukaryota, Metazoa, Chordata, Mammalia, Primates, Hominidae. The record is from RefSeq and is a predicted model, not a curated record.